Molecule: RNA transcript, 571 nt
Organism: Mycetomoellerius zeteki
Lineage: Eukaryota; Metazoa; Arthropoda; Insecta; Hymenoptera; Formicidae
Gene: ND-B12
Gene name: NADH dehydrogenase [ubiquinone] 1 beta subcomplex subunit 3
Exons: 3
Source: RefSeq, a predicted model, not a curated record
CAUCUACAGUUCUGGGAUUUAAAAUCAGCUGGUUACUCCAAAUUGUCCAAAAUCCAAAGGAGAUAAAUUACAUAAUUUCAAUUUAACGAAUAUCAACCACGUUCUCACAGUAUGGGAGGUCACGAUGCACAUCAUCAUGGUCCACCAUAUAAAAUACCCAACCAUGAUAUUUUUAAAGUGGAAGAUGUACCAGCAUUGAAACGUGUUCAAGAAGAAUUAGCCAAGAAAGGAUUGAAGGAUCCUUGGCUGAGAAAUCAAGUAUGGCGCUACAAAACAAGUGCAUCGCCUUAUAUGCGCGCAUUAAUAUGUAUAACGAGAGGUUGGAGAAUUGCUAUACCAGCAUUCCUCAUAACUAUCGCUGUUGAACAAUAUUUUGGGAUCGAUUACUCGGGACAUGGACAUCAUGAGGAUAAGCAUGGAAAUGGUCAUCAUUAGUGUUCACUUUAGAUUAAUGUGGUACAAGGAAGUAAGAAGUAGUAGAGUGUAAAGAGAUUUCUCUUAACGUUGCAUUUAAUGAUCAUUAAGAAUAAUUGAGAUAUGAUAACCGUCGCUAUACAAGCGAAAAUAUAAG